UAAAUUCAGGUGAUGGACAACCCAUCACUACAAAUCCAAGGUGAAAAAUCACACACAUGCACAAAAUAGGGUUCUUGCACCACCCUUUCACUACAAUUCAAGCUGAGUGAACUGCUGGUUUCCCUUUCACCACUUUACAGAUCACUGGGGUUGGAACUUUGAACAGCCAACUCAGUUCAGAGAAAGAGCAAGCACUGGUGUAUUGAACCAAUUGGGAGAUGAGCUGAACUUCUGGGCUACCUUCUUC
Molecule: long non-coding RNA, 247 nt
Filed under: Panicum hallii
Lineage: Eukaryota; Viridiplantae; Streptophyta; Magnoliopsida; Poales; Poaceae
Description: long non-coding RNA (PHAL_LNC000373)
Source: RNAcentral